This 440-nucleotide ribosomal RNA is filed under the name uncultured bacterium. RNAcentral describes it as "partial 16S ribosomal RNA". It matches the Rfam family "Bacterial small subunit ribosomal RNA", at positions 338 to 795 of the family's 1533-position model. The record is from RNAcentral.
CCUACGGGUGGCAGCAGUAGGGAAUAUUGCUCAAUGGGCGAAACCCUGACGCAGCAACGCCGCGUGGAGGAUGAAGGUUUUCGGAUGGUAAACUCCUUUUGUUAGAGAAGAUAAUGACGUUAUCUAAUGAAUAAGCACCGGCUAACUCCGUGCCAGCAGCCGCGGUAAUACGGAGGGUGCAAGCGUUACUCGGAAUCACUGGGCGUAAAGAGCGCGUAGGCGGGAUGGCAAGUCAGAUGUGAAAUCCUAUGGCUAAACCAUAGUACUGCAUUUGAAACUGUCAUACUAGAGUGUGGGAGAGGUAAGUGGAAUGCUUGGUGUAGGGGUAAAAUCCGUAGAGAUCAGGAGGAAUAGUAGUUGCGAAGGCGACCUGCUAGAACAUAACUGACGCUGAUGAGCGAAAGCGUGGGUAGCAAACAGGAUUAGAUACCCGGGUAGUC